RNAcentral lists this unclassified non-coding RNA (345 nucleotides) under soil metagenome. RNAcentral's name for it is "partial contains 5.8S ribosomal RNA, internal transcribed spacer 2, and large subunit ribosomal RNA". The stretch from base 1 to 120 matches the Rfam family "5.8S ribosomal RNA", at positions 35 to 154 of the family's 154-position model. The record is from RNAcentral.
GAUGAAGAACGUAGCGAAAUGCGAUACGUAAUGUGAAUUGCAGAAUUCAGUGAAUCAUCGAGUCUUUGAACGCACAUUGCGCCCCCUGGUAUUCCGGGGGGCAUGCCUGUCCGAGCGUCAUUGCUGCCCUCAAGCACGGCUUGUGUGUUGGGCCUCCGUCCUCCUCCCGGGGGACGGGCCCGAAAGGCAGCGGCGGCACCGCGUCCGGUCCUCGAGCGUAUGGGGCUUCGUCACCCGCUCUUGUAGGCCCGGCCGGCGCUUGCCGACACAUCAAUCUUUUUUCCAGGUUGACCUCGGAUCAGGUAGGGAUACCCGCUGACCUUAAGCAUAUCAAUAAGCGGAGGA